UCCCGAUGCCUUUGAUCGCACAGCUCAAUCCAUCCGGCAGAUAAAUAGUGCCCUCACUGUUCUCUAGGGAGUCAAACUGCUCCUCUCUGCAAUAUACAUGAUAGGUACAUACAGAAUCUAAUAUCUACUGUUGGGAAGAAGUAAAUAUCUCAUCAGAUAUCUUCAAGACAUCUCCCUCUGAAUCACUACUGGCCGUCACCACAGC
Molecule: long non-coding RNA, 205 nt
Filed under: Elaeis guineensis (African oil palm)
Lineage: Eukaryota; Viridiplantae; Streptophyta; Magnoliopsida; Arecales; Arecaceae
Description: long non-coding RNA (EGUI_LNC029706)
Source: RNAcentral